AAAUUGAAGAGUUUGAUCAUGGCUCAGAUUGAACGCUGGCGGCAGGCCUAACACAUGCAAGUCGAGCGGAAACGACACU
RNAcentral lists this ribosomal RNA (79 nucleotides) under Vibrio splendidus. RNAcentral's name for it is "partial 16S ribosomal RNA". It matches the Rfam family "Bacterial small subunit ribosomal RNA", at positions 1 to 79 of the family's 1533-position model. The record is from RNAcentral. Lineage: Bacteria; Pseudomonadati; Pseudomonadota; Gammaproteobacteria; Vibrionales; Vibrionaceae. RNAcentral also lists the same sequence under 1 other name.